UAUUCCAUUCAGACCUCUCAUGAAGUCAUAAAGCCUACUAUAGGCACAUGACUGGCUUUCCAGAUGUCCGCAGUUAUAGUGUAAUCAUUGCAAAUGACAUGUACGAUGACUAAUGCUACACUGAAAGACUCUAUGGAAACCUCUUUGUGUAACAGGGCAAACCAGGACAGAAGAAGCGUCUAAGAUUAUCCACAUCCUGGAUUUCAAGAUCUAGAAAAAACCUGGCAACCCUAGCAAUGUUGUUGCAGAGACCAAGUAUCUGGAGACGUCCUUCCACUUUCACUCUGUAUUCUUCCUCUGCUCCUGCAAUCUGUCAGCUCAGCUAUUUUUGGACACUGGCUCAGCAUUCUUUCAAAAGGGAAUGAAUGCAGUGCUGGCAGUGAGUGGCCAUGACUGGCAACACAAAGUAGCUUGUGGUGUAGACAAAAUGAUGUUCUCUUCCCAUUCCCAGUAAUAGAAACAGUAUGAGGUACAUCUACACAAAAAUCAUUGUCAGCAGAAGCAAUAGGAAACAUAUAAUGCACUCACUGUCAACAAAACCAAUAAAACUUAACCAAUAUA
This is a long non-coding RNA of Pantherophis guttatus, 561 nucleotides long. RefSeq lists it as uncharacterized. The record is from RefSeq and is a predicted model, not a curated record. Lineage: Eukaryota; Metazoa; Chordata; Lepidosauria; Squamata; Colubridae.